GACGAACGCUGGCGGCGUGCUUAACACAUGCAAGUCGAACGGAAAGGCCCUGCUUUUGUGGGGUGCUCGAGUGGCGAACGGGUGAGUAACACGUGAGUAACCUGCCCUUGACUUUGGGAUAACUUCAGGAAACUGGGGCUAAUACCGGAUAGGAGCUCCUGCUGCAUGGUGGGGGUUGGAAAGUUUCGGCGGUUGGGGAUGGACUCGCGGCUUAUCAGCUUGUUGGUGGGGUAGUGGCUUACCAAGGCUUUGACGGGUAGCCGGCCUGAGAGGGUGACCGGCCACAUUGGGACUGAGAUACGGCCCAGACUCCUACGGGAGGCAGCAGUGGGGAAUAUUGCACAAUGGGCGGAAGCCUGAUGCAGCAACGCCGCGUGCGGGAUGACGGCCUUCGGGUUGUAAACCGCUUUCGCCUGUGACGAAGCGUGAGUGACGGUAAUGGGUAAAGAAGCACCGGCUAACUACGUGCCAGCAGCCGCGGUGAUACGUAGGGUGCGAGCGUUGUCCGGAUUUAUUGGGCGUAAAGGGCUCGUAGGUGGUUGAUCGCGUCGGAAGUGUAAUCUUGGGGCUUAACCCUGAGCGUGCUUUCGAUACGGGUUGACUUGAGGAAGGUAGGGGAGAAUGGAAUUCCUGGUGGAGCGGUGGAAUGCGCAGAUAUCAGGAGGAACACCAGUGGCGAAGGCGGUUCUCUGGGCCUUUCCCGACGCUGAUGUGCGAAAGCGUGGGGAUCAAACAGGAUUAGAUACCCUGGUAGUCCACGCCGUAAACGAUGAGUGCUAAGUGUUAGGGGGUUUCCGCCCCUUAGUGCUGCAGCUAACGCAUUAAGCACUCCGCCUGGGGAGUACGACCGCAAGGUUGAAACUCAAAGGAAUUGACGGGGACCCGCACAAGCGGUGGAGCAUGUGGUUUAAUUCGAAGCAACGCGAAGAACCUUACCAAAUCUUGACAUCCUUUGACAACUCUAGAGAUAGAGCCUUCCCCUUCGGGGGACAAAGUGACAGGUGGUGCAUGGUUGUCGUCAGCUCGUGUCGUGAGAUGUUGGGUUAAGUCCCGCAACGAGCGCAACCCUUAAGCUUAGUUGCCAUCAUUAAGUUGGGCACUCUAAGUUGACUGCCGGUGACAAACCGGAGGAAGGUGGGGAUGACGUCAAAUCAUCAUGCCCCUUAUGAUUUGGGCUACACACGUGCUACAAUGGACAAUACAAAGGGCAGCGAAACCGCGAGGUCAAGCAAAUCCCAUAAAGUUGUUCUCAGUUCGGAUUGUAGUCUGCAACUCGACUACAUGAAGCUGGAAUCGCUAGUAAUCGUAGAUCAGCAUGCUACGGUGAAUACGUUCCCGGGUCU
This 1343-nucleotide ribosomal RNA is filed under the name uncultured bacterium. RNAcentral describes it as "bacterial SSU rRNA". It matches the Rfam family "Bacterial small subunit ribosomal RNA", at positions 28 to 1381 of the family's 1533-position model. The record is from RNAcentral.